Molecule: long non-coding RNA, 457 nt
Organism: Terrapene triunguis (Three-toed box turtle)
Lineage: Eukaryota; Metazoa; Chordata; Testudines; Emydidae
Exons: 5
Source: RefSeq, a predicted model, not a curated record
UGGAGGAGGAUCUGGGCUGUCGGUGGGUUUGGGACUAAGCGCAGGAAGCGGCUUCGCACACUGCGAGGAGCCCGGGGUGGCCAGGCGGCGUGGGGAGCCGGUUGCUGAAACUGAAAGGAGUAGAGGAACCAGUACUUUAAUUUUGCGUGGAGCGUUUGGAAAAUUACUGCAAUGCUGUAAAUCAGAGCCUCAGUUAAGUUCGGUAGCUGUAGUGGGAGGGAAGUGGAAGAAUCCAGUGACAGCCACCAGAGUUUUAGAAAAUGCAGAGUUUGAUGCUCUUCUGUAGAAGAGGAUAUAUUUAAACCCACAUUCGUCUGAAGGAUCAGUGUUUAUCCUAAAUAUCACGGUUUAACAUCCCAAAAAGUAUAAGAGGCAGACGUACAAAUGUCUACCACAAGACUAAAGUGUGACAUGUUAUGUUCUUUACCAUAAGGACCCAUAAAAUGAGCUCCAUUAC